Molecule: ribosomal RNA, 467 nt
Filed under: uncultured bacterium
Lineage: Bacteria
Description: partial 16S ribosomal RNA
Rfam family: Bacterial small subunit ribosomal RNA
Source: RNAcentral
GACGAACGCUGGCGGCGUGCUUAACACAUGCAAGUCGAACGGAAAGGCUCCAGCUUGCUGGAGUACUCGAGUGGCGAACGGGUGAGUAACACGUGGGUAAUCUGCCCUGCACUCUGGGAUAAGCCUGGGAAACUGGGCCUAAUACUGGAUAUGACCUUUCUCCUUAUGGGGUUUGGUGGAAAGUUUUUCGGUGUAGGAUGAGCCCGCGGCCUAUCAGCUUGUUGGUGGGGUGAUGGCCUACCAAGGCGACGACGGGUAGCCGGCCUGAGAGGGUGAUCGGCCACAUUGGGACUGAGAUACGGCCCAGACUCGUACGGGAGGCAGCAGUGGGGAAUAUUGCACAAUGGGCGGAAGCCUGAUGCAGCGACGCCGCGUGAGGGAUGACGGCCUUCGGGUUGUAAACCUCUUUCGGCAGGGACGAAGCGUAAGUGACGGUACCUGCAGAAGAAGCACCGGCUAACUAUGUG